CUUGAACACUUCCUCAUUGUAAGAACCAGGAGAAUUUUGAAGAGGCCUGUAAUCACCAUCGUUAAAAGCCCAAGUUCUUGCUAUAUUCAUGCCAUACUUGGAGGCUUCUCGGAAUGCAUCUGUAACCUUGCUCCUUGUAGAAAGGUCAGAUGCAAACAUCAUCAUCCAAUAAGCAUUGAAGCCAUUGAAGUAAAAAGGCUUUCCAUUCAUGACAAAGUUGGUUCCUCUUGUUUGAAC
RNAcentral lists this long non-coding RNA (237 nucleotides) under Durio zibethinus. Its description in RNAcentral is "long non-coding RNA (DZIB_LNC000960)". Lineage: Eukaryota; Viridiplantae; Streptophyta; Magnoliopsida; Malvales; Malvaceae. The record is from RNAcentral.